CGGGCGUGGUUGUAGGCG
Molecule: microRNA, 18 nt
Filed under: Macrophomina phaseolina MS6
Lineage: Eukaryota; Fungi; Ascomycota; Dothideomycetes; Botryosphaeriales; Botryosphaeriaceae
Description: miR-1268
Source: RNAcentral